RNAcentral lists this ribosomal RNA (253 nucleotides) under uncultured bacterium. RNAcentral's name for it is "partial 16S ribosomal RNA". It matches the Rfam family "Bacterial small subunit ribosomal RNA", at positions 524 to 776 of the family's 1533-position model. The record is from RNAcentral.
UACGUAGGGUGCAAGCGUUAAUCGGAAUUACUGGGCGUAAAGCGUGCGCAGGCGGUUAUGUAAGACAGAGGUGGAAUCCCCGGGCUCAACCUGGGAACUGCCUUUGUGACUGCAUAGCUGGAGUGCGGCAGAGGGGGAUGGAAUUCCGCGUGUAGCAGUGAAAUGCGUAGAUAUGCGGAGGAACACCGAUGGCGAAGGCAAUCCCCUGGGCCUGCACUGACGCUCAUGCACGAAAGCGUGGGGAGCAAACAGG